This 379-nucleotide ribosomal RNA is filed under the name uncultured cyanobacterium. Its description in RNAcentral is "bacterial SSU rRNA". It matches the Rfam family "Bacterial small subunit ribosomal RNA", at positions 376 to 770 of the family's 1533-position model. The record is from RNAcentral. Lineage: Bacteria; Bacillati; Cyanobacteriota.
CGCAAGCCUGACGGAGCAACGCCGCGUGAGGGAGGAAGGCCUGUGGGUUGUAAACCUCUUUUCUCAGGGAAGAAGUUCUGACGGUACCUGAGGAAUCAGCAUCGGCUAACUCCGUGCCAGCAGCCGCGGUAAGACGGAGGAUGCAAGCGUUAUCCGGAAUUAUUGGGCGUAAAGCGUCCGUAGGCGGUUUAGAAAGUCAGUUGUUAAAGCCCACAGCUCAACUGUGGAUCGGCAAUUGAAACUACUGGACUAGAGAGUGGUAGGGGUAGAGGGAAUUCCUAGUGUAGCGGUGAAAUGCGUAGAUAUUGGGAAGAACACCAGUGGCGAAGGCGCUCUACUGGGCCGUAACUGACGCUGAGGGACGAAAGCUAGGGGAGCG